RNAcentral lists this non-coding RNA (45 nucleotides) under Schistosoma margrebowiei. Lineage: Eukaryota; Metazoa; Platyhelminthes; Trematoda; Strigeidida; Schistosomatidae. The record is from RNAcentral.
AUCCAGCUGAUGAGUCCUAAAUAAAACGAAACGCGCGUCCUGGAU